Monascus purpureus is the source of this 106-nucleotide non-coding RNA. The record is from the annotation of a GenBank genome assembly. NCBI's taxonomy places the organism in Eukaryota, Fungi, Ascomycota, Eurotiomycetes, Eurotiales, Aspergillaceae.
GGGCUUAUAGCUCAGUGGUAGAGCGCUCGCUUUGCAUACCACCAACUGUCCUUCGGUGUAAGGUCUUGCCUGCGAGAGGUCAGGGGUUCGACUCCCUUUGAGUCCA